CUUGGCUCGCGCAACGAUGAAGGACGCAGCGAACUGCGAAACGCAAUGUGAAUUGCAGAAUUCAGUGAAUCAUCAGAUUUCUGAAC
Molecule: ribosomal RNA, 86 nt
Filed under: Toxoplasma gondii
Lineage: Eukaryota; Apicomplexa; Conoidasida; Eucoccidiorida; Sarcocystidae
Description: partial 5.8S ribosomal RNA
Rfam family: 5.8S ribosomal RNA
About the family: 5.8S ribosomal RNA (5.8S rRNA) is a component of the large subunit of the eukaryotic ribosome. It is transcribed by RNA polymerase I as part of the 45S precursor that also contains 18S and 28S rRNA.
Source: RNAcentral